Molecule: long non-coding RNA, 744 nt
Filed under: Panax ginseng (ginseng)
Lineage: Eukaryota; Viridiplantae; Streptophyta; Magnoliopsida; Apiales; Araliaceae
Description: long non-coding RNA (PGIN_LNC016270)
Source: RNAcentral
UCAAUAAUCUCAGACCCAACUUCUGCUUCAAUCAAACAAAAACAAAUGUUAAUCUAAACUCUCAGAAACACACACUUGUACACAUAUAAGAACAAAUAUAUACACAGAGAAAGCGGGUUUGAAGUUAAAUACGAUAUUAGGGAUUUUGAUGAAGAUCCAAGCUCAAAUCUUUAUCAAUUUGGUGAUGAUAAAAGGGUAGAGAACAAUUGAAAAGUUCGAUUUGAGACCAAUGAAACAAUGAUUGGAUUAAAAAAAGACUACUUAUUUCCGAUGGAUAAGACUGAAACAAAAAAAAAUUAAUAAUUUUUGGGGAAAAAAUAAGCAAAAUUAUUGUUUUCUUAAGAGAAUUAGGAUACAAUUAUAAUCGAAUUUUCUUGAGAAAAUAAGGUCGGCUGAUUGGGAUAGGGGCGUGAACGAGUUGAAUUUAGAUUGGAAACGGCUUCAAAAUGGAUAUAUAUAUAUAUAUAUAUAUACACACACAUGUAUGUGUAUCUAUAUAUCUGAUAUAAUUGGGUGGAGAAAGUGAUCGGUUACAGUUAUUUUCUGAUUAGGGUUUGGAUGAGCUGCUGGCAAAGAAACGGAGGUGCAUGUGUUUUAGCGGUGAAAGAGAGACGGGAGGGAGAGUGAUAGAUAUUAAAUAGAUGAGCAAGAAGAGAUUGAGGCAGAAAGAGUGAAAAUAAUGAGAAAGAAAAGAGAGGCUGUGAACAUAUAAUAUAGCAUACAGCCUAUAGCUCCAUAAAGCCC